CUGGCCUUGAAGGAAUCGUAGAGAUUCAGGGUGCUGCCCUUCCUUAGUGGAAAUCCUACUAGUUGAAAGUAGAAGAGUGGAUUAGGAGCUUGAGUCUCUGAACCACUUAAAACCUAUUGUGUCUUUUACAUUAUGUCAUUUACAUUAUAUCUAUAACUGUUAUAACUGCUAUGUAUGUUCUAACUGCUUACAACUAAAC
RNAcentral lists this long non-coding RNA (199 nucleotides) under Panax ginseng (ginseng). RNAcentral's name for it is "long non-coding RNA (PGIN_LNC008825)". The record is from RNAcentral. Lineage: Eukaryota; Viridiplantae; Streptophyta; Magnoliopsida; Apiales; Araliaceae.